UGCGCAGGCGGUGCGUUAAGUCGGAUGUGAAAUCUCACAGCCUAACUGUGAGCGGUCAUUCGAAACUAGCGCGCUUGAGGACUGGAGAGGAGACUGGAAUGGUCGGUGUAGCGGUGAAAUGCGUAGAGAUCGACCAGAACACCAGUGGCGAAGGCGGGUCUCUGGACAGUUCCUGACGCUCAGGCACGAAAGCCAGGGGAGCAAACG
This 207-nucleotide ribosomal RNA is filed under the name uncultured bacterium. RNAcentral describes it as "partial 16S ribosomal RNA". It matches the Rfam family "Bacterial small subunit ribosomal RNA", at positions 568 to 774 of the family's 1533-position model. The record is from RNAcentral.